Molecule: unclassified non-coding RNA, 329 nt
Filed under: soil metagenome
Description: partial contains 5.8S ribosomal RNA, internal transcribed spacer 2, and large subunit ribosomal RNA
Rfam family: 5.8S ribosomal RNA (bases 1-120)
Source: RNAcentral
GAUGAAGAACGUAGCGAAAUGCGAUACGUAAUGUGAAUUGCAGAAUUCAGUGAAUCAUCGAGUCUUUGAACGCACAUUGCUCCCUCUGGUAUUCCGGGGGGCAUGCCUGUUCGAGCGUCAUUAUAACCACUCAAGCUCUCGCUUGGUAUUGGGGCUCGCGGUUCCGCGGCCCCUAAAAUCAGUGGCGGUGCCUGUCGGCUCUACGCGUAGUAAUACUCCUCGCGAUUGAGUCCGGUAGGUCUACUUGCCAGCAACCCCCAAGUUUUACAGGUUGAACUCGGAUCAGGUAGGGAUACCCGCUGAACUUAAGCAUAUCAAUAAGCGGAGGA